AGAUACGCAGCUGCCGCUGAAUGGUGAUAUGUUAAUAAGCUGGAGGCAGCUCCCUGCUCAGCCCGCAGUGCAGAGUGACACAGACAGGCGACAUCGUCACUGAGCACUAACUUCUAUUUCACCCAGGCAGACAUUUCAGAACCGCGGCAAGGCAUAACAGAGGCAAAGGGGGUAGCUGCAAAGUUUGGGACAAGACCUCUGCAGGCAACUGGAAGCACAGUGUACCCAGGUGGUGGGUCUCGUCUGUGACAAUAUAUUUUUCUGUCUGUCCAAUUGAAUAUGGCUGUAAAGGGAAUAAAACUCCAUGUAAUCUCCAGCAGUGACAAUUUAAUCAGUUGUAAUAGGGAAAGAGUAGCAGAGUCCCCCCAUUUUCCUAUUUGCAUAUUUGAUUUUUGCAUUGGGGAAUGCAGGUUAUGUUUGUUGCUUCUCAUUCAGUUUUCUUAUUUAACCUUUUUAUGGGCAAAUUUUUUACAGUAAUAUGAGAUCUCAAGUCAAGUAAGUCUAAAAGAGAGAGGAAAGAUUCCCUUUUUGAAAUGAAGCAAUCGGUGCAGUGUGCUUUGUGUAAUGCUAUUCCCGGCAAAGGACGAAUGUGCCAAACAUGGUUUGCAUGCUCUCUGCUUCUGCACGUGAUGCAUCUGCUAUUAACAUUCACAGACCCACCCUGAAAAUGAAGGCAACUGUUUGGCAAACAAUGCAAAAUGAUGAGGAAUAUGCCAUAACAUGAUCGCUUUUUUGGUUAAUAUUUCUUGAAAUAGUAAAUCUUAUUAACUAUGUAUGUCUAAGGAAGAUGGGUUUCUAAGAAGCUUUAUAUACUUAGGUCAGUUUUAUGAGGUUGUGGAGGAGCAAUAAAUAUAGUGAAAUUAAUAAAAUUCAUUGCUCCUGUAAUUGACAGAGUGAUAUUAUUGCCCUAAAUGUAAUAAAAGAUUCUGGGAUAGAUUUUAAAAUAAAUAAGAUACAAGUAAUUUGAACCCAUCAUCAAUUAUCCUUGUGACCUCCCUUGAGUAUAUUAAAAAUCUGGCCAAAAUGGUGUUGGGUUUGAAUAACCGAAAUAUGGAUAGCUGCUUUUUUAUACAACAAUGCAUGUCAAGCCUCCACUUUUGAAAACACCAAAAGUGUGUUAGGUAAUUAAAAAAAAUAUAUAGUUCCCUACUUAAUUAAAAUUUAGAAUCUCUUUGUAAAAGGUGAAUGAACUCUGAACCAACAUUUCACUGAAAGGGAAAAAAAGGGAUGAACAUUUUAGUUCUAUGUAAUUUUACAAAGGAAGAAAAAAGAUUAAAUAAAAGUUUUGAACUUUUUAUGUAUCUUAUUUAAUCUAUGUGUAUGUAUACAUUUAUAUAUACACACACACUUCUGAGUAAUUACAUGUUUAUUUGUGUUUACCGAUAAAUAUAAAUAUUGCUAACCAAAUUUCAUGAGAAAUUACUAAAUUUGGUUAUCAAAAGAUAAGCCACAGCAUUGUAUCCAAAAAGAGAGCAAAUUGCCUUUUUAAUUUAUGUCCAUGAACCACACCAGUAGCAGUACGCAGGCAUUAGUAGAUGACAGGUAUCAAACCCUUUGGGAGUGAGCACAGAUUCACAUCAGAGUCAAGUACGUAAUAUGUCAAAUUUUGACUAUGUUCUUGUUUAUUUAAAUCUGCAUUCUGAUGAUCACCCUUUCAAAGAAGUUAUAUAUAUAUAUAUAUAUGAAUAUGUGAUCCAACGAUUACAUAUUCAAAUUAACCCAGUUUUUGUUUGAAUAUGGUCUAAUGAUUGAAUGAUCUCC
This is a long non-coding RNA of Oryctolagus cuniculus (rabbit), 1761 nucleotides long. RefSeq lists it as uncharacterized. The record is from RefSeq and is a predicted model, not a curated record. NCBI's taxonomy places the organism in Eukaryota, Metazoa, Chordata, Mammalia, Lagomorpha, Leporidae.